Unclassified non-coding RNA from Capra hircus (goat), 257 nucleotides. Its record names the gene 7SK. It matches the Rfam family "7SK RNA". Rfam says of the family: 7SK was discovered as an abundant small nuclear RNA in the mid-70s but a possible function has only recently been suggested. Two independent studies have found that 7SK RNA binds the CDK9/cyclin T complex (known as elongation factor P-TEFb). P-TEFb activates transcription by phosphorylating the C-terminal domain of RNA polymerase II. The record is from Ensembl. NCBI's taxonomy places the organism in Eukaryota, Metazoa, Chordata, Mammalia, Artiodactyla, Bovidae.
GAGUAUGAGAGUGAUCUGGUUGCAACACCUGUCAUGCCAUUGAUUGCCAGGCUAGCUUUAUUAGUUCUGGCUGGCUAGGCAAGUGUCUCCUUUCUUCCUUACCCUUCCACAUACGUCUCUUCCUUGACAUACAUCUGUCAAGGAAGGCAUGAUUCUCUAAUAAAGUAGACCAUUCUUCAAAGAAGGCUUCCCAGGUGGCUCAGCAGUAAAGAAUCCACCUUUCAAUGUAGGAAACCUUGGAGAUGCAGGUUUGAUCC